This is a long non-coding RNA of Cygnus olor (mute swan), 415 nucleotides long. RefSeq lists it as uncharacterized. The record is from RefSeq and is a predicted model, not a curated record. NCBI's taxonomy places the organism in Eukaryota, Metazoa, Chordata, Aves, Anseriformes, Anatidae. The transcript has 3 exons.
CGUGUGCUCUUCAGAUAUCUCAGUUCUUUUUUGUUGUUGUUGUUUUCAACAGAAUACAAACAUAUCGAUCCUUUUUUUCCCCCAUCCUUUCCACAUUUCUUGGAAGAUCUCCUUUUAGUAAAGGUUUUUAAGCCUGUCUUAGAAGUUUUAUGAAUAAUUUAUUUCCCUUGAUGCCCUGAUACUGAACUGCUACAUAGUCUAGAACUAACAAUGGCAGACAAGAGGAGAUGGUUUCUAGGGAAAAGAGAAAGUCACAUGUUGACCUGUUUUGUACAACAGACAUACAUACUAACCAUAGCCUCUAUAAAUGACUAUACUCUUAACUUCCUCAGUGAAAUCCUAACAAAAUUACAGUUCUAUUACACAGACUUAUUAAGAUUUUUGAUCUAGAAAUAUAAAGGAAGGUGAUGUUGAG